Long non-coding RNA from Bombina bombina (fire-bellied toad), 416 nucleotides. RefSeq lists it as uncharacterized. The record is from RefSeq and is a predicted model, not a curated record. The transcript is spliced from 3 exons. Lineage: Eukaryota; Metazoa; Chordata; Amphibia; Anura; Bombinatoridae.
UGAUAAAAUACAACAGGCACCAAAAAGUGAUGUAACAUUGAAACCUAAAACAACAGUCGUUACGGCAAUAGUUCACAAGCAACCAGUAAAUAAGGUUCCCAAUGAAUGUGUAAAACAAGCACUAAAAGCCUCUACUACUGUCUCAUCACGCUCCAGAAGUAAACAAACACACCCCAUUUCAUCUGUGGCUUCUAGAAAAUCUAUAGCUGUAGAAGACAUCAUAACCACCAUUGAUGAUGAUGAAAAGUCUCCAACAGCAGUACCCACACAUUGCAGAGCCAAGGGUUUUUCUAACAAUCCAAAAAAAUCUUUGAAUUCUCUACAAUUACCAGGUUUGGGACAGAAAACACAACACACAAACACAACUAAGAAAUCAUGUGUUAAAAGAAAACCUAGUGGUGAGAAUAAUGCUCAAA